This 548-nucleotide ribosomal RNA is filed under the name uncultured bacterium. RNAcentral describes it as "bacterial SSU rRNA". It matches the Rfam family "Bacterial small subunit ribosomal RNA", at positions 355 to 896 of the family's 1533-position model. The record is from RNAcentral.
UGGGGAAUUUUGGACAAUGGGGGCANCCUUGAUCCAGCAAUGCCGCGUGAGCGAAGAAGGCCUUCGGGUUGUAAGGCUCUUUUGUCAGGGAAGAAACAGCAGCUCUAACACAGUCUGCGAAUGACGGUACCUGAAGAAUAAGCACCGGCUAACUACGUGCCAGCAGCCGCGGUAAUACGUAGGGUGCAAGCGUUAAUCGGAAUUACUGGGCGUAAAGCGUGCGCAGGCGGUUAUGUAAGACAGGCGUGAAAUCCCCGGGCUUAACCUGGGAAUUGCGCUUGUGACUGCAUAGCUAGAGUAUGUCAGAGGGGGGUAGAAUUCCACGUGUAGCAGUGAAAUGCGUANAGAUGUGGAGGAAUACCAAUGGCGAAGGCAGCCCCCUGGGAUAAUACUGACGCUCAUGCACGAAAGCGUGGGGAGCAAACAGGAUUAGAUACCCUGGUAGUCCACGCCCUAAACGAUGCUGACUAGUUGUUCGGGAAUUUAUUCCUGAGUAACGUAGCUAACGCGUGAAGUCAGCCGCCUGGGGGAGUACGGUCGCANGAUUA